Molecule: long non-coding RNA, 560 nt
Filed under: Brassica napus (rape)
Lineage: Eukaryota; Viridiplantae; Streptophyta; Magnoliopsida; Brassicales; Brassicaceae
Description: long non-coding RNA (BNAP_LNC019554)
Source: RNAcentral
UCACUUAUGAUAUUGAUCAUAAGGAAUUGCUGGUUAUCAACCUUGGUUUUGGUAAGGUAUGGGCAAUGCAUUGGCUGAGAGCCAGGAAGAAGAGUACAGCUAAGUACUUGGUGGCGUGGACCAAAGUACUAAGCUUGGGUGUUAUUAUUCAAGGCAGGCCGUGUGUGAUCUGAUCAUGGGCAAGGAUGGACGACCUGAUCCUUUGAGGUUGGAUAAAGGUGUCUGAUCUGAUUGAUCAAAGGAUGCACCGGUGGUAAGAGAAACACUAAUCAGGUUCAGUGGGACAUGGUUCCAUGACUGAUUAGGAAGUAUGAAGACUCAUCAGUUCUGAGUCAUGUGGGGUGGUUGGUUGAUUGACUUAGGAUCUGAUGGGCAUUGUUAGUCUUUGUGAGGACUUGAUCUGGUUAGUCCAUGAGAGGACUUGGUAUUAUAUUCUACAAAGCGUACUGGAUGAUGCAUGGGCUAAGAAGGGCCAGAUGCAUAUCAGUUACUAUUGAAGACUUCCCAAAGGUUACUUAGUCUGUGGGGAGGGUUGGCUGAAUGACUAAGUACCCAAGGGA